GCAAGAAGAGGACUUUUGGUGCUUUACCGAU
RNAcentral lists this non-coding RNA (31 nucleotides) under Mus musculus (house mouse). The record is from RNAcentral. Lineage: Eukaryota; Metazoa; Chordata; Mammalia; Rodentia; Muridae.